CGCAUCGCCGGCCCCCAUCCG
Molecule: non-coding RNA, 21 nt
Filed under: Arabidopsis thaliana (thale cress)
Lineage: Eukaryota; Viridiplantae; Streptophyta; Magnoliopsida; Brassicales; Brassicaceae
Source: RNAcentral